GCAUUCGUAGUGCAGUGGUUAGCACAUCUGCUUCCCAUUCACGGUUCAAGCAGGGGGUCGCGGGUUCAAUCCCCGCCGGAUGCA
Molecule: transfer RNA, 84 nt
Organism: Ascochyta rabiei
Lineage: Eukaryota; Fungi; Ascomycota; Dothideomycetes; Pleosporales; Didymellaceae
Rfam family: tRNA
About the family: Transfer RNA (tRNA) molecules are approximately 80 nucleotides in length.
Source: Rfam